This 73-nucleotide transfer RNA is filed under the name Saccharothrix australiensis. It matches the Rfam family "tRNA". Rfam says of the family: Transfer RNA (tRNA) molecules are approximately 80 nucleotides in length. Their secondary structure includes four short double-helical elements and three loops (D, anti-codon, and T loops). Further hydrogen bonds mediate the characteristic L-shaped molecular structure. tRNAs have two regions of fundamental functional importance: the anti-codon, which is responsible for specific mRNA codon recognition, and the 3' end, to which the tRNAs corresponding amino acid is attached (by aminoacyl-tRNA synthetases). tRNAs cope with the degeneracy of the genetic code in two manners: having more than one tRNA (with a specific anti-codon) for a particular amino acid; and 'wobble' base-pairing, i.e. permitting non-standard base-pairing at the 3rd anti-codon position. The record is from Rfam by way of RNAcentral. Lineage: Bacteria; Bacillati; Actinomycetota; Actinomycetes; Pseudonocardiales; Pseudonocardiaceae.
GGGCCGCUAGCUCAACUGGCAGAGCAGCGGACUUUUAAUCCGUUGGUUCAGGGUUCGAGCCCCUGGCGGCCCA